UCUGAGCAUAGUAAGAAAAGUUGUCUGCUCC
RNAcentral lists this non-coding RNA (31 nucleotides) under Mus musculus (house mouse). The record is from RNAcentral. Lineage: Eukaryota; Metazoa; Chordata; Mammalia; Rodentia; Muridae.